Molecule: unclassified non-coding RNA, 355 nt
Filed under: soil metagenome
Description: partial contains 5.8S ribosomal RNA, internal transcribed spacer 2, and large subunit ribosomal RNA
Rfam family: 5.8S ribosomal RNA (bases 1-121)
Source: RNAcentral
GAUGAAGAACGUAGCGAAAUGCGAUAAGUAAUGCGAAUUGCAGAAUUUCCGUGAGUCAUCGAAUCUUUGAACGCACAUGGCGCCUUCCAGUAUCCUGGGAGGCAUGCCUGUCCGAGCGUCGUUUCAACCCUCGAGCCCUCGUGGCCCGGCGUUGGGGAUCUGCCACGGCAGGCCCCGAAAUACAGUGGCGGACCCGUUAGGCCCUUCCUUUGCGUAGUAGCAUCAGCCUCGCAUCGGGAGCCGGCGGGCUCUCCUGCCUCUAAACCCCCCAACAAGCCCGCUCCGGCGGCACCAAGGUUGACCUCGGAUCAGGUAGGAAUACCCGCUGAACUUAAGCAUAUCAAUAAGCGGAGGA